ACCAAAGCUGUUCUUCACGAAGAACAGUUCGAGGUGCCUACUUUGGACCUCUAUAACUUGAUGAUCGUGUAACGUUUAUGUGAUCAAUCAAUUCCAGUAUGUAGACAACAUGUAGGACUACAACGCUAACACUUAACAUCAUCAUAAAAAAAAUAAAUCAAGCAUCUAAAGUAUGGUCAAACCUUGUAAGAAAAAUAAACACUUAGAAAAUUCUGGGCUGUCCAGAAUUUUCCGGUCAAUGCCGGUCAACCCACUUUGACCUUAAAUAACUCUUAAUCCGUAAUAUAUAUGGACCUGAUUCUUUGUGGAGGUUAAAUACCACAUAACAAGCUACACAUAUCAACCUUUAGAACACAAAAAACAUUACAGAUGACCGAGAUAUAAGGCCUGACAUUUGCCAAAAAAUAUUUUCUGGACACUUAGAAUAUUUUCUGGGUUUGAAAAACAGCCGGUCAAUGCCGGUCAACCCACUUUGACCGCUUAUAAAUCCAAAUCUACAAUAGAUAUGAACUUGUUUCCUUUUGGAGGUUAAAGAACACAUAACAAGAUACACCUAACAACUUUUAAACAACACAAACAGUAAAUAAUCACAGAGAUAUAAG
RNAcentral lists this long non-coding RNA (602 nucleotides) under Panax ginseng (ginseng). Its description in RNAcentral is "long non-coding RNA (PGIN_LNC017310)". The record is from RNAcentral. Lineage: Eukaryota; Viridiplantae; Streptophyta; Magnoliopsida; Apiales; Araliaceae.